RNAcentral lists this long non-coding RNA (1695 nucleotides) under Anser cygnoides (Swan goose). RNAcentral's name for it is "lncRNA (ENSACDG00005002131.1)". The stretch from base 1181 to 1251 matches the Rfam family "Small nucleolar RNA SNORD99". The record is from RNAcentral. Lineage: Eukaryota; Metazoa; Chordata; Aves; Anseriformes; Anatidae.
AGGGAAAUACAAGGCCUGAGAGGGAGGGGGGACCCGGAGGGGCGCUCCAGGGGCCUCACUGCGAGGGGGAAGGGGAGGCGUGGGGGGUGUUGCUGCUGUUCUGCUGCUUUAAAAUGUCCUUUUUCUUUUCCAUAAGAAACUAGCUGGAGUCCCCGGUGUCGUCCUGGCGUGGGAGGUGGCCUCGCAGCACCAGGCAGGUGAGUGGUGUGAGCAUACCCUGCAGGCUGCCAUCAGUGCUGGGAGUGGGGCUCGCUGCCUCCUUUCCUCAGGGCAGCAGUACUCCGCAGUCCUCCGCUUGCAGGUAUUUCUGAAGGCGGUUCCUGUUCCAGGCGCUACAGAUCCCCUGUAGGAGGAUCCUUGGAUCCCCUGCAGGGGAGGAUUUCCCCCUGGUGGGCCUGUUAAAAUAGUCCCUCCAGUCGUUAAGAUCUGUGAACUCCCCUUAUUUCCUGCUCUUACCAAAAUCAUGUUUAGUUGGGGUAGAAGGAGGAUUUCUCCAGCAUCCUUUGGCCCUAGUGGCAGAACUGAGAANNNNNNNNNNNNNNNNNNNNGGGGAAAUACAAGGCCUGAGCGGGAGGGGGGACCCGGAGGGGCGCUCCAGGGGCCUCACUGCGAGGGGGAAGGGGAGGCGUGGGGGGUGUUGCUGCUGUUCUGCUGCUUUAAAAUGUCUUUUUUUCUCCAUAAGAAACUAGCUGGAGUUCAAGACUGCUGCAGUCCCAGGUGUCGUCCUGGCGUGGGAGGUGGCCUCGCAGCACCAGGCAGGGUUCCUUGGUGUUUGCGAGCUCGCUCAGCUGAUGGCCUGCCUGCCGGGAUGGACUCGAGGAAUUACUCCCGUAGUGGAAGAGGCUGAGAGCUCGUGAGCCCCUCUCCCCCAUGACGGGAAUCAGUUUGCUGAAGGCCGAAAUCACGAGGAAAGUGUGAAGUGGAUUGGGUGAGUGUCUUUGUGAGUGGUCAGCAGACGUUGGGUGGUUUUGAGGGGGAUCUUGACAGUGCUGGCCGAGGGGCAGCUCGGCCUGGCUGCGAGGUGGCCGCCUGUGCUGGAGGCGGCAGCCUGCUGGGGCUCUGCAGGAGGGAACGAUCAGAUUCGUUAGUACGGUCUGUAAUUGGGUGGCCUGAUUCCUUCAGGGCAGAGUCCCUGUGAGAUGAGCUGUCCGUUUCUCCAUCACCAUUCCUCUGAGCACGGCCUGGUCGGUGAUGAUGCCUUUGUUGGGAGACUGCUGGAUGAAUCCUGCGGAUAUGGGGCUGAGGCCAGGCUCCAGCAGGAACUGGAACCCCCGUGCGCUGUGUCAGGCUGAGCUUCAUUCUGACCGGGCUUUCUCUUCCCUCCCCAGGUGUUCGUGGAGCUGAGAGAAGGUUUCAGUCUCAGUAUCCUACUCCCGAAGCAGCCGCGGUUGUGUGUAACGGGACCCUGGCUCCCCGGUGAGCUGUGAGCUCCCCCAGGUGGGAGAGCUGCUGCUGUGCACCAGCCGCUGGGCACCGCAGGCAGCGGGAACCUCCUGGGUUCUGGGUGCUGCUGAAGCUUCCGUUCGUGUGUUCACUGUGGAAGAUUGAUCCCUUCCAGGGAGUUUUCGCAGAAAAAGAGCUUUGGGGGGAGGGUCUGGAAUAUUUGAAAUACUUAAAAUACGUGAAUAUUUGAGGAUGUGUGGAAUAUUGGGAGGGGUGAAUAAAGGCGAUCACUUGAAGCUCUUGCUCUGUCUC